This is a long non-coding RNA of Vigna angularis (adzuki bean), 555 nucleotides long. RefSeq lists it as uncharacterized. The record is from RefSeq and is a predicted model, not a curated record. The transcript has 2 exons. Lineage: Eukaryota; Viridiplantae; Streptophyta; Magnoliopsida; Fabales; Fabaceae.
UCGUAGUGUAAUACAACAUCUCGUGGUUUCAGUUUCAUUGCUUAAUAGUAGUUACUGAAUUAGAGCGACAGUGUCAAUAAGCUGCACUUCAGUUGUCUAAUAACUUGUUAUGUAGGCCUAGGUAAUUACUAUUGACUGGCUGCAUAUCUUUGUGAGUGUUGUCAUAUCUUUGUGUUGAGGAAUUGUAGGAAGUUACUUAACCAAUUAAUUCUGUGUACUUUGUUUCAGGUUCUUCAUCCUGUAUAUUUACUGGAAGUUCAAACUCGAGCACUGGUGGAUUGAGUAUACCUCCAACAGCACUAGGGCCAUCAGGCCCCUUUGGUGGAAGUGUGAACCUGCAAGUGUGUAGCCUUAAGUAUUUGAUAUCUGCAAUUGCUGUAUUUUUGGCUCUAUGAAUGCUCUUUUAAUGGUUCGUGUAAUGUGUUCAUCAUCGAUUUUGUUUUUCUUUUGUCCAUUUUAUUCUUCAGAUGUGUCCCAUCUAGUGCAUUUGGGAUCAUUGUAAUUCAUCACUCUUAAGAUAGGUAGUUAUUAAAUCUAGUUUUUAUUUUUAUUUUA